UGACGGGUAGCCGGCCUGAGAGGGUGACCGGCCACAUUGGGACUGAGAUACGGCCCAGACUCCUACGGGAGGCAGCAGUGGGGAAUUUUCCGCAAUGGGCGAAAGCCUGACGGAGCAAUCUCGCGUGAGGGAUGACUGCCUAUGGGUUGUAAACCUCUUUUUUCAGGGAGGAAUAAAUGACGUGUACCUGAAGAAUAAGCAUCGGCUAACUCCGUGCCAGCAGCCGCGGUAAUACGGAGGGUGCGAGCGUUAAUCGGAAUUACUGGGCGUAAAGCGCACGCAGGCGGUUAUAUAAGCUAGAUGUGAAAGCCCCGGGCUUAACCUGGGA
This 328-nucleotide ribosomal RNA is filed under the name Pseudo-nitzschia fraudulenta. Its description in RNAcentral is "partial Bacterial small subunit ribosomal RNA". It matches the Rfam family "Bacterial small subunit ribosomal RNA", at positions 277 to 619 of the family's 1533-position model. Lineage: Eukaryota; Bacillariophyta; Bacillariophyceae; Bacillariales; Bacillariaceae. The record is from RNAcentral.